Molecule: ribosomal RNA, 253 nt
Filed under: uncultured bacterium
Lineage: Bacteria
Description: partial 16S ribosomal RNA
Rfam family: Bacterial small subunit ribosomal RNA
Source: RNAcentral
AACGUAGGGGGCAAGCGGUGCUCGGAUUCACUGGGAGUAAAGGGCGCGUAGGCGGAUAAACAGGUCGGAUGUGAAAUCCCGGGGCUCACCCCCGGAACUGCAUCCGAAACUGUUUAUCUGGAGUAGUGGAGAGGAAAGCGGAACUCCUGGUGUAACGGUGAAAUGUGUAGAUAUCAGGAGGAACGCCGAUAGCGAAGGCAGCUUUCUUGACACUUACUGACGCUGAGGCGCGAAAGCGUGGGGAGCAAACAGG